CAACACAUUGAUGUUCAUUCACUGCCAGUUCGUCAUCAACUCAUUUGCUGGUUUCACCUUGCCUCACGCGCUACCUCUGGACUCAGGAUACCAAGCAAACAUUUUGAAAAUCACUCUGUGCCUCACCUGCCUGCCCUCCUGCCAUCACACUGAAGACCCCGGAUCUCAGGUCAGCCUUGUCACACCACUCAGCCCCCCUGGAUUCUCAUCACCCCCCUCUCAACACUCUAUGUCCCCUACUGCAAUGUGACUGUUCUCUGCUCAGCUCCACUCUGCAUCUCAGGCCCUGUUCCCUCGCCCUAGCCACGCCACGUCAAACUCCACGUCUUAUCGUUUUUUGUCCUUGCUACGUUUCUUGCACUCCAGCCUAAUAAAUUAUUGUUACAUCAUCUGCUGUCUCAGCUCUGGGUUUCUGCACCUGAGUCCUGUUCUGUACAGACCACUCGGUCCCG
Molecule: long non-coding RNA, 452 nt
Organism: Oreochromis niloticus (Nile tilapia)
Lineage: Eukaryota; Metazoa; Chordata; Actinopteri; Cichliformes; Cichlidae
Exons: 3
Source: RefSeq, a predicted model, not a curated record